Molecule: RNA transcript, 1557 nt
Organism: Triticum aestivum (bread wheat)
Lineage: Eukaryota; Viridiplantae; Streptophyta; Magnoliopsida; Poales; Poaceae
Exons: 6
Source: RefSeq, a predicted model, not a curated record
CCUGCCUUGACUGCGCCCCCGCCUCCCUCCCCACCCCGCCGUGCUCCCUCUCCCUCCCCUCUAUGGUCGUAUGACGCCCGCUGCCGGCGCAACCUCCCUUCACCCCCGCUCGACGUCGCCCUGCCCAUCUGCCUCUCCCAUGGCGCACGGCACCUGCCGCCGGACCCGCCCUUCCGCCAUCUCCUGUAUCGUCGGCGCAACCUCCCUUCGCACCGCUCGCCGUCGGGUUGUCCGGCCCAUGCGCCUCUCCUACGACGCCAGCCUCCAGCCCCGCCAUCUCCUGUGGUGCACGACGCCCGCCGCUGGCCCCGCCCUUCCGCAUCUCCUAUGGCGCGCGCGCCUGUCCGUCGGCCACGCCCGUCCGCCUCUCCUGUGGCACACGACUGUUGCUGUGUACGUCUGGAACAACGCCACAGGGUGGCCCUCCCUCAUCGGUCUUUGCAUCUUCAAUGAUUCAUCCCGGGAGCCAUAUGAUCUGUCAGAUGAUGACACUAAUUUGCAGAAGAAGUUCACACGUCUAAGGGAUCAUGCAGCUGCACUGCGAAACUACUGUAUAAUCCUGACCUUUCUUUCUUUUGUCUUCACAAGGUUGAAAGCGCUCUUGGUUCUGCUGAAAAGCUUGUGAGAGCAUCACCUGAUGAGCUGUUCCACUACUAGGGUGAUCUUGUUCAAGCACUGGUACAUGUUCGUUGUUCUGAUGUCGUGAUAGAAGGUGAGGAAGAUUUUGCGGAAGAAAAGCGACAGAAGGCAUUAGUCGCCUUGCUGAAGAAGAAUUGUACAAUGCGGAAAGAUGUUAUUUGCAUCUGCAAAGAGGGAUCAUAUUUGUAGAUUGAUUCCAUAAGAAUCAGGAGCAGGAGCUAAUGGACAGUCAGUGAGCCCCAAGGGCGGUGGCCCCUGCAACAUGAAGAAGACCAUCCAGACAAAGGGGAGGUACACGGAUAGCCAAGGAUGCAAGGAGACGUGCAGCGAUGGAGAUUUGCCUGAAUGUUGCUUUCCUCCGCGUGAAGUGCCUAGAAUUCUCGAAGGCGUCAACAAGACCCGAAGGAGAUUGACAAAGUAUUGACAAGGUUUGGUUGCAUCAACGAAUUGAUUUAAGACAAGAUAACAAUGGGAACCAUUGUCCUAAAGUCAGCUGGAUCAUCAAAGUUCUCUGUGCAGCAAAGCCUGAUAGGCGUGUUGGAUGUUGCUGCAUGUCUCAGCCAACAGAGUGAUGAUACUGCUGUUGGAUCUCCAGCAACAUGCUACCAUAGCUCUUCGGGAAGCAAAAAGCUGAGAAUUGGCAGAUGACCGAUCUCAUGUUGUGAUGUGCUUUAGGUGUGUUGCUCACCGUUCUGGCUGUUUUGUUGUUUCAAACAUCUCAAUUUAGUUUGGUCAUUCGAGAACUAUAGCGUGGUCAAGUGUAUUGACUUUGUCGUUCAGCUCUCCGCUUGAGAUUAUUUUAGUUCUGAUUUACUUUCAUUUACUUUGUUUUGCAAGUAGCAUGUCCUUAGCGUGCCACCGUGUCAGUACAAUGCCAGUUUUUGUGUUUCAUAUAAUGCUUAAUUACAGUUGAUUGUA